Molecule: long non-coding RNA, 224 nt
Organism: Solanum lycopersicum (tomato)
Lineage: Eukaryota; Viridiplantae; Streptophyta; Magnoliopsida; Solanales; Solanaceae
Source: RefSeq, a predicted model, not a curated record
AACAAAAGCUCCCAACUCAUUCUCUCCAAGACCUCCAUUUUUGAAGCUUUGAAGCUCCAAGGAAGAAAACCAAAUUGUUCAAGUUUUUCAAUCCAAUUUCGUGGGAUUUAUUCAAAUAAGGUAAGAGCCUUUGCAAAGUGAAUUGAUUGAAAAGGCUAAGUAAUGGUGAUGAUGAUGAUUGGAAGGUGGUGGCAAGUGAGGAGUUACAAUGGGAAUAUCGAAAA